UUACGGUCAAAUCACGCUGAAAACACCGGUUCUCGUUCGAUCACCGAAGUUAAGCAUCGUAGAGCCAGGUCAGUACUUAGAUGGGGGACCGCUUGGAAACACCUGGUACUGUAAG
This 115-nucleotide ribosomal RNA is filed under the name Acanthosepion pharaonis. Lineage: Eukaryota; Metazoa; Mollusca; Cephalopoda; Sepiida; Sepiidae. The record is from RNAcentral.